CGCCGACACGGCUAACCCGUAAACGGGAGCGACGGCGCCCAAGGUAUGACCCAUGAUUGGGGUG
This 64-nucleotide ribosomal RNA is filed under the name uncultured bacterium. Its description in RNAcentral is "partial 16S ribosomal RNA". The record is from RNAcentral.